AAUCCCUCCGUCUCGGAAAUAUUUGUCGGAGAAAUGAAUAACGGAGGGAGUAUUAUUUAGGCUAUUUGUUCAGCAUUCCUACCCUUGCUUAGCUACAGUACUGCUACCCUUAGCUGCAUUACUACCGAAUUGAACUGGUUAGAAGCCAGAACAACUUAACUAACAGAAGCCAGAACAAUUCAUCGUCUCAUUCAUACACUCAUACUACUAAUCAUCCAUAGCUUAGCUGCACUACUUCCACUGAAUUGAACUGUUCGUCAUACUAUAAAUCUUAGUACUCCCUCCGUUCCUAAAUAUUUGUCUCUAGACAUUUCAAAUGAACACCACAUACGGAUGUAUGUAGACAUAUUUUAAAGUGUAGAUUCAUUCAUUUUGCUCUGUAUGUAGUCACUUGUUGAAAUGCCUAAAAAGACAAAUAUUUAGGAACGGAGGGAGUAUAUUGCAUUAAACAAGUUAACCAUGAGAAGCCAUCUAAGUUAACAUGGUGCAGAUAAUCAAACGCAUACGAGUACUUCACUG
RNAcentral lists this long non-coding RNA (519 nucleotides) under Triticum aestivum (bread wheat). RNAcentral's name for it is "long non-coding RNA (TAES_LNC014239)". Lineage: Eukaryota; Viridiplantae; Streptophyta; Magnoliopsida; Poales; Poaceae. The record is from RNAcentral.